UUACCGAGUGCGGGCCCUCGCGGCCCAACCUCCCACCCUUGUCUCUAUACACCUGUUGCUUUGGCGGGCCCACCGGGGCCACCUGGUCGCCGGGGGACGCACGUCCCCGGGCCCGCGCCCGCCGAAGCGCUCUGUGAACCCUGAUGAAGAUGGGCUGUCUGAGUAUUAUGAAAAUUGUCAAAACUUUCAACAAUGGAUCUCUUGGUUCCGGCAUCGAUGAAGAACGCAGCGAAAUGCGAUAAGUAAUGUGAAUUGCAGAAUUCCGUGAAUCAUCGAAUCUUUGAACGCACAUUGCGCCCCCUGGCAUUCCGGGGGGCAUGCCUGUCCGAGCGUCAUUUCUGCCCUCAAGCACGGCUUGUGUGUUGGGUGUGGUCCCCCCGGGGACCUGCCCGAAAGGCAGCGGCGACGUCCGUCUGGUCCUCGAGCGUAUGGGGCUUUGUCACUCGCUCGGGAAGGACCUGCGGGGGUUGGUCACCACCAUAUUUUUCCACGGUUGACCUCGGAUCAGGUAGGAGUUACCCGCUGAACUUAAGCAUAUCAAUAAGCCGGAGGAA
RNAcentral lists this ribosomal RNA (554 nucleotides) under Talaromyces aculeatus. RNAcentral's name for it is "eukaryotic LSU rRNA". The stretch from base 182 to 335 matches the Rfam family "5.8S ribosomal RNA". The record is from RNAcentral. Lineage: Eukaryota; Fungi; Ascomycota; Eurotiomycetes; Eurotiales; Trichocomaceae.